This 79-nucleotide small nuclear RNA is filed under the name Homo sapiens (human). RNAcentral describes it as "partial ncRNA". Lineage: Eukaryota; Metazoa; Chordata; Mammalia; Primates; Hominidae. The record is from RNAcentral.
AGAGAAUCACUUGAACCCAGGAGGUAGAGGUUGCAGUGAGCCGAGAUUGUGCCACUGCACUCCAGCCUGGGCGACAGAG